UUUAGGCGGAUUUUUGAUGGGAAGCAAGUAAUGGAGAUAAUGAAAGUUAGAGAACUUGGCGGUACAUAAUCUACUUUGAGGAACCUGUUUAGUAAUAGAUAUUACACAAUAAAAUUUACGUUAGUUGGUAAGUAAAGUCAAUUUAUAUAUCGCUGUCGAGUUAGUUUUUUUUUGAGGUAUAAAUUUAAAUAUUAUGGUUUAUUUAAUAGGAAAUCAAGUAAAGAUGUAGAUGAUACUAACGAGUAUAAUGGGUUACUUUAUUAAAAUGAAUAUUAUACGGAGUUUUAUUAUGAAAAUUUUUAUGAAGUUGGAUUAAAAAGUAAUAGUAAAUUAGAAAGUUAUUAUGAAAUUGUAGCUCUUAUGUGU
This 366-nucleotide ribosomal RNA is filed under the name Protoschizomus pachypalpus. Its description in RNAcentral is "partial small subunit ribosomal RNA". Lineage: Eukaryota; Metazoa; Arthropoda; Arachnida; Schizomida; Protoschizomidae. The record is from RNAcentral.